UCCGAUUGAUUUUUUUGAUUAUUUUAUUCAAAGAUAUUUUGAUUAUUUUAUUAUUAUUUUUCAUUUUUUUGGUUUAACCGUGGUUACAGCGUGUUCGAUCGGUUUGAUUUUGUUUUAACAGUGAUUAAACGAGAUUACAACACAAAUGAUCGAUUGAAAUUCAUUUUAUCAUUUAUUAGGUGAGAAAACGGCUUAAAUAAACGGUAAAAAGC
This 212-nucleotide long non-coding RNA is filed under the name Glycine max (soybean). RNAcentral describes it as "long non-coding RNA (GMAX_LNC004338)". Lineage: Eukaryota; Viridiplantae; Streptophyta; Magnoliopsida; Fabales; Fabaceae. The record is from RNAcentral.